This 493-nucleotide ribosomal RNA is filed under the name uncultured bacterium. RNAcentral describes it as "partial 16S ribosomal RNA". It matches the Rfam family "Bacterial small subunit ribosomal RNA", at positions 29 to 509 of the family's 1533-position model. The record is from RNAcentral.
AGUGAACGCUGGCGGUAGGCCUAACACAUGCAAGUCGAACGGCAGCACAGUAAGAGCUUGCUCUUACGGGUGGCGAGUGGCGGACGGGUGAGGAAUACAUCGGAAUCUACUUUUUCGUGGGGGAUAACGUAGGGAAACUUACGCUAAUACCGCAUACGACCUACGGGUGAAAGCAGGGGAUCUUCGGACCUUGCGCGAUUGAAUGAGCCGAUGUCGGAUUAGCUAGUUGGCGGGGUAAAGGCCCACCAAGGCGACGAUCCGUAGCUGGUCUGAGAGGAUGGACAACCAACAUGGGAACUGAGACACGGUCAGAACUCCGAGGGGGGGGACAGGGGGGGAUUAUGGAAAAAGGGGGCCAGGCUGGACCCACCCAUACCGGGGGGGGAAAAAAGGCUUUGGGUUUUAAAGCCCUUUUUGUGGAAAAAAAAAAGCAGAGGUUAAACCCCCCCUUGUUCGGGGGGACCCAAAAAAAAAAGCCCGGGCAACUUCGGCC